Long non-coding RNA from Arabidopsis lyrata subsp. lyrata, 1383 nucleotides. RefSeq lists it as uncharacterized. Lineage: Eukaryota; Viridiplantae; Streptophyta; Magnoliopsida; Brassicales; Brassicaceae. The transcript has 3 exons. The record is from RefSeq and is a predicted model, not a curated record.
AGUAAAUAAAAAAUCCGUGCACAUUACAUUUAGCCCCAAAAUGCCUCUCUAUCUGGUGGAGCGACACCAAAACUAAGCUUUAUCAUUUUCCAGAGAAUCGUCUCUUUGGGUAAUCGGAGAAUCACAAAAAAAAAAUGGGAACCAUAGGAUGAGCUAUUUACACUGGGUAAUUGGAUUCAUGGGACUGGUCAAGCUUUUGAUCGUGUUGGUUCUCUUCUUCAAGGAAGCCGCGACAUCUGUCGAGGCAUCGGGCGUUGAUGAAUGUGUUUGAUUCACCAAACACGUAUUGGCGCCGCAUCCAAUUACAAUGGAAAUCGAAAGAUAAGAUUUUAUCGUUAAAAAAAAAAUCAAUUAGAUCUUUAUUUAAAGAAAUUGUCUUCUUUAAAUUGCAUUCGAGAAUUUUCUAUAUCAUAUAUCCAAAUCCAACUAAGUGAAACAAAAUUUGCCAGAAGAAACGCAAAAUUAUAUAUAUAUGAAAGGGAAUGUAUACAAUAGUGUAACAUAAUAUCAAAACGCAAUUAAAGGAUUUACGGAGAAUGAUUGAAACCAAACCUUUUCAAUUUAACCUUUUUUAUUGCCACUCUUUUUAUCCAACGUAUCAGAGCAAGACUCUAUCAUUGUCAAGCACAAACCCUUUCUUGUCAUCCACAAAUCUGCAGAAAACAAUAAAAACAAAAAGAAUGAAUUUGGAAACUGAUUGUAAUGUUUGAGUUCAGAAUCUCACCAGUUUUGGUUGUGUAUUGCUGUCAUGAUGCAGAAUCUUAAUUUGGACUUGUCAUGCGAUUUUGUAAAGCCGCUUAUAAGAUAGUCAAAAGAAACAACCAUGGAGAUAUUGAAAAGCUUUCUUCAUGGAUGUAAAAGGGAAAUCUUCUCAAAAGAUACAUUAACAACGAUUGACGAAAAUUUAGGAAUAUCCGAAGUUAUGAUUUGCGGGUUAUCUCAUAACUUUUUUAGGAAAGUCUCAAAUUAUUUGGAUCCAAAUAAUUAAUUCCGGGUCAAAAUUUCGGGUCAAAAUUUUGACCCGAUUAGGGACCCAAAAACUGUUGCAAAAAUGUAUAGUAGAUGGGUUUGUUUGGAAACUAGUACGUUUACAAAUAUAAUUAUAAAAGUAGUACGGUUACUAUUCACAUUUGUAGAAGUAGUACGGUGAGACCUGUUUGUGAGAUAUAGAAUAGUGAGAUAGAAAUAUUAGUGGGUUUUAGAAAAGACCAAAAAUGGCUUUUGUUUGUCUCUGAGAAAAAGAAACGUGGGUGUGAGAAAGAGAGAGAGAGAUGUGGGUCAGACGUGGGUCAGGCUUAUUAAAUUACAUUCCUUCAAAGUUUAAUAAUUAAAAUGAUCGUUCGUAAAUUUUAUUUUUGUAAAAUAGAUCAUAUACAUAAAAAU